CCUACGGGAUGCAGCAGUGAGGAAUAUUGGUCAAUGGACGAGAGUCUGAACCAGCCAAGUCGCGUGAAGGAUGACUGCCCUAUGGGUUGUAAACUUCUUUUAUAAAGGAAUAAAACGAGGCACGUGUGCCUUUUUCCAUGUAUUUUAUGAAUAAGGCUCGGCUAACUCCGUGCCAGCAGCCGCGGUAAUACGGAGGAUCCGAGCGUUAUACGGAUUUAUUGGGUUUAAAGGGAGCGUAGAUGGGUUGUUAAGUCAGUUGUGAAAGUUUUCGGCUCAACCGGAAAAUUGCAAUUGAUACUGGCAGUCUUGAGUACAGUUGAGGUAGGCGGAAUUCGUGGUGUAGCGGUGAAAUGCUUAGA
RNAcentral lists this ribosomal RNA (359 nucleotides) under uncultured bacterium. RNAcentral describes it as "partial 16S ribosomal RNA". It matches the Rfam family "Bacterial small subunit ribosomal RNA", at positions 338 to 694 of the family's 1533-position model. The record is from RNAcentral.